GCCAGGAUGCCUCAAGAGGCGGAUAUUAACCUCCCAGGACGGAAGUUCCGGAGCCUUCAAACUCUCGGGGAAGCAACUCGGCAGCGGACCAAGAUGGCGGCGCCCUGUGAGGGACGAGCGUUUGCCGUAGGGGUUGAAAAGAAUUGGGGUGCAGUAGUUCGCUCCCCAGAAGGGACCCCCCAGAAAAUCCGGCAGCUGAUAGAUGAGGGGAUUGCCCCGGAAGAGGGAGGCGUGGACGCGAAGGACACGUCUGCUACAUCCCAGUCAGUUAAUGGAUCACCCCAAGUGGAACAACCUUCAUUGGAAUCUACAAGCAAAGAAGCCUUCUUUAGCAGAGUGGAAACAUUUUCUUCUUUGAAAUGGGCAGGUAAGCCCUCCGAGCUGUCUCCACUCGUCUGUGCAAAAUAUGGCUGGGUCACAGUGGAAUGUGAUAUGCUCAAGUGCUCUAGCUGUCAAGCUUUUCUCUGUGCCAGUUUACAACCAGCUUUUGACUUUGACAGAUAUAAGCAACGAUGUGCUGAGCUGAAGAAAGCCUUGUGUACUGCCCAUGAGAAGUUCUGUUUCUGGCCAGACAGCCCAUCCCCAGACCGAUUUGGGAUGUUGCCCCUGGAUGAGCCUGCUAUUCUUGUUAGUGAAUUCCUAGAUCGUUUUCAAAGCCUUUGUCACUUGGACCUCCAGCUUCCUUCCCUAAGGCCGGAGGACUUGAAAACUAUGUGCUUGACAGAAGACAAGAUCAGUCUUCUCCUACACUUGCUUGAAGAUGAACUUGAUCACCGAACUGAUGAGAGAAAAACUACAAUCAAAUUAGGCUCAGACAUCCAAGUCCACGUCACUGCCUGUAUUCUCUCUGUGUGUGGCUGGGCGUGUAGUUCCUCUUUGGAAUCCAUGCAGCUCUCCCUGAUAACAUGUUCACAGUGUAUGAGGAAGGUGGGGCUCUGGGGCUUCCAGCAGAUUGAAUCGUCCAUGACUGACCUGGAUGCAUCCUUUGGCCUGACCAGCUCCCCCAUCCCAGGCCUUGAGGGGCGACCAGAGCGCUUACCUCUGGUGCCUGAAUCUCCUCGGAGGAUGAUGACCCGGAGCCAGGAUGCCACUUUCUCCCCAGGCUCAGAGCAGGCUGAAAAGAGCCCUGGUCCCAUUGUCUCUCGAACUCGGAGCUGGGACUCUUCCAGUCCUGUUGACCGUCCUGAGCCAGAGGCUGCUAGCCCCACCACCAGAACUCGCCCAGUGACCCGAAGCAUGGGAACAGGAGACACCCCUGGCCUGGAGGUACCAUCUAGCCCUCUGCGGAAAGCCAAGCGAGCUCGCCUCUGCUCCUCCAGCAGUUCGGACACAUCUUCCCGAAGCUUCUUUGAUCCCACCUCUCAGCAUAGAGACUGGUGCCCUUGGGUGAAUAUCACACUUGGCAAAGAAAGCAGGGAGAAUGGUGGAACUGAACCAGAUGCCAGCGCCCCAGCAGAGCCAGGCUGGAAAGCAGUGCUGACCAUCCUCUUGGCGCACAAACAGUCUAGCCAGCCAGCUGAAACGGACUCCAUGGUGAGAUAAGCCACUGCCUUGUGUGUGGGCAGCACUUGCUGUUUAUGGGAGGAGGAGCAGAGGCUGGGCCUAUAAUUAGCACCCCGCCUGCCUUCAGCUUUCAUACGUCAAGUUAUUUGGGUUUUUUUGUUUGUUUGUUUGUUUGUUUUUUGAGAUGGAGUCUCGUUCUUGUUGCCUAGGCUGGAGUCCAAUGGCAGGAUCUCAGCUCACUGCAACCUCCACCUCCUGGGUCAAGCGAUUCUCCUGCGCCUGUAAUCCCAGCUACUGGGGAGGCUGAGACUGGAGAAUCACUUGAACCCAGGAGGCGGAGGUUGCAGUGAGCCGAGGUUGCACUCCAGCCUGGGCUUCAGAGAGAGACGCUGUCUCAAAAAAAUAAAUAAAUAAAAAUAAAUGUAUAUUAGUACCCUUAGUAAAUGUGCAGGUGAAGGUUUUCCAAGUUUUCACAGAAAAAAAAAUCCGCAUUUCUCUGCCUAGAUCUUCAGGAACUAGUACAUUGGCAGUUUUCAAUAAGACUCCUCUCUGUCACUGCCAUACGAAAAAGAAAGCCUAUGGGUUUUGUUUUUGUUUUGUAGUGGGAAAAGUUGGCCUCAUAAUUGGCCCUGGAUUCCAGGACUUUUUUUUUCGGUAGUGUGUCUUAACCUUCUGACAGCUGCUGUGACGAAGCUAGAAAGCUUAAUGAGACUGUGUGGUAAAGGAUCCUGAUGUUCGAAAAAGAAAAAGUAUAUACCGAGGCCAGGCACAGUGGCUCAUGCCUGUGAUCCCAGCACUUUGGGACGCUGAGGCAGGGGAAUCACCUGAGGUCAGGAGUUCAAGACCAGCCUGGCCAACAUGGCAAAACCCCAUCUCUACUGAAAAUACAAAAAUUAGCCAGGACUGUUGGUGUGCACCUGUAAUCCCAGCUACUCCAGAGGCUGAGGCAGGAGAAUUGGGAGGUGGAGGUUGCAGUGAGCCGAGAUCGCACUACUACACUCCAGCGUGGGCAACAGAGUGAGACUCCCUUUCAAAAAAAAGAAAAAAGAAAAAAGUGUAUAUUA
Pan troglodytes (chimpanzee) is the source of this 2567-nucleotide RNA transcript. It is a transcript of the gene named zinc finger C3HC-type containing 1, with no coding region annotated. The transcript is spliced from 10 exons. NCBI's taxonomy places the organism in Eukaryota, Metazoa, Chordata, Mammalia, Primates, Hominidae. The record is from RefSeq and is a predicted model, not a curated record.